GAUGAACGCUGGCGGCGUGCCUAAUACAUGCAAGUCGAGCGAACAGACGAGGAGCUUGCUCCUCUGACGUUAGCGGCGGACGGGUGAGUAACACGUGGAUAACCUACCUAUAAGACUGGGAUAACUUCGGGAAACCGGAGCUAAUACCGGAUAACAUGUUGAACCGCAUGGUUCAACAGUGAAAGACGGUCUUGCUGUCACUUAUAGAUGGAUCCGCGCCGCAUUAGCUAGUUGGUAAGGUAACGGCUUACCAAGGCAACGAUGCGUAGCCGACCUGAGAGGGUGAUCGGCCACACUGGAACUGAGACACGGUCCAGACUCCUACGGGAGGCAGCAGUAGGGAAUCUUCCGCAAUGGGCGAAAGCCUGACGGAGCAACGCCGCGUGAGUGAUGAAGGUCUUCGGAUCGUAAAACUCUGUUAUUAGGGAAGAACAAAUGUGUAAGUAACUAUGCAUGUCUUGACGGUACCUAAUCAGAAAGCCACGGCUAACUACGUG
This 497-nucleotide ribosomal RNA is filed under the name uncultured bacterium. RNAcentral's name for it is "partial 16S ribosomal RNA". It matches the Rfam family "Bacterial small subunit ribosomal RNA", at positions 28 to 507 of the family's 1533-position model. The record is from RNAcentral.